UUCCUCCAUGAAGUCAUAGCUGAAGGGGUACUUGGGGGUGGAGGAAGUAGACCAUGGGGGAAGAGGGUGCCUUUAAAAGGUAUAUCUUGUCCCUGUCUUCUUCUUCCCUGACUCUCUCACCUUCUCUUCUUCCUUGCCACCAUGAGGUGAGCAGUUGUGCUCUCUCCCACGAUCCUCAGCACCAGCCCUGAAGCAGCAAGGCCAAGGGACCACGGACUAAAGCCCCUGAAACCAUUCCAAGCAUUCAAGAAGGGUGUGAAGAAUGAAAAGAGGGGAAACAUCCUGCCAUCGAGUCAUAACCAUCAAUGCAUGAGUAGCUGAAUAAUCCUCCUUCAUAUGUUAAAAGGUGUCUCAACCCCAUUGGCAGUGGAGAAAAUCAUGACUGGCCAAGGAACCAACUCGCCAAAAGUCACAGGGACCAGUGAGGACUGGGCCAGACCAAUCAGCUACAUUGAGCUGGGAAACAAGCGAAGAAGCUGACAGCUCGGCGCUAAGAUCUCUGAGGGGAGCCAGAGGCGUGUGAGCAGAUGACAUCUCCACGCUCCAGAGCGAAGUCUAGCCACCCAAAAUGUUAACAAUACCAUCCGCUCUCCCUGGGAAAAUAAACCUUCGCUUCAAAAAUAAACUUGACUAAAGGU
Heterocephalus glaber (naked mole-rat) is the source of this 638-nucleotide long non-coding RNA. RefSeq lists it as uncharacterized. NCBI's taxonomy places the organism in Eukaryota, Metazoa, Chordata, Mammalia, Rodentia, Bathyergidae. The record is from RefSeq and is a predicted model, not a curated record.